This 253-nucleotide ribosomal RNA is filed under the name uncultured bacterium. RNAcentral's name for it is "partial 16S ribosomal RNA". It matches the Rfam family "Bacterial small subunit ribosomal RNA", at positions 524 to 776 of the family's 1533-position model. The record is from RNAcentral.
UACGAAGGUGGCAAGCGUUGUUCGGAUUUACUGGGCGUAAAGGGAGCGUAGGUGGUUUGUUAAGUCUGAUGUGAAAGCCCUGGGCUCAACCUGGGAACGGCAUUGGAAACUGGCUUACUAGAGUGCGGUAGAGGGGUGUGGAAUUCCCGGUGUAGCAGUGAAAUGCGUAGAUAUCGGGAGGAACAUCUGUGGCGAAGGCGACACCCUGGACCAGCACUGACACUGAGGCACGAAAGCGUGGGGAGCAAACAGG